AAAGGUAAAGAAAAAAUAGAAAAAGAAAGAGCUCAGUUAAGAGGCCAUAUCACCAGAUAAACUGGAGAAAUGCAAAGGACCCAACCUUUACAGAAACCGAUUUCAUCACAGCUCUAUUGCACCAGCCGGGAAUCGAACCCGGGUCUGUACCGUGGCAGAGUACUAUUCUACCACUAGACCACUGGUGCUACUU
RNAcentral lists this transfer RNA (193 nucleotides) under Arabidopsis thaliana (thale cress). RNAcentral describes it as "ATSL060480". Lineage: Eukaryota; Viridiplantae; Streptophyta; Magnoliopsida; Brassicales; Brassicaceae. The record is from RNAcentral.